UCAUGAGCUUCCCUGAUCAUGUUUUUGAUUUAAUUCCCAAACACACAGUACAUGUGAAAUAUUUGAUUGAUCUAAUGUUUUGAAUUGAGAAAUAUUUCAGGCAAACAAAAAGACACCACACACUUGGAACAAUAGCUUGCAACUCAAGGAAUCAACCAAAGUUGGAGGAUGCACUUGAGAAAGACGAAAAAAUUGUAUAGUGUUAUUAAGUGUCUUAGUAAUAAGUUUAGUAGACUAAUCAAUAUGGUCUCACACUUAAGUCUUUGCCUAUGAAUGAAAAUCAAUCAACCAAAAAGUCAAUUGAUGAAUUGAUUGAUAAAUCGAUUGUCUGACUCAGAACAAGUGUUUUCAUUACAUCAAUCGAUUGAGGAAUCGAUUGGAUAAAUGUUUUUAAGUGAAACCUGAGUUCUGGGAUAAAAUCAAUCGAUUAGACAAUCGACUGGGCAAUCCAUUGAGCAAUCGAUUUAGCAAGUCACAGAAACA
RNAcentral lists this long non-coding RNA (483 nucleotides) under Cicer arietinum (chickpea). RNAcentral describes it as "long non-coding RNA (CARI_LNC001141)". Lineage: Eukaryota; Viridiplantae; Streptophyta; Magnoliopsida; Fabales; Fabaceae. The record is from RNAcentral.